RNAcentral lists this non-coding RNA (29 nucleotides) under Rattus norvegicus (Norway rat). Lineage: Eukaryota; Metazoa; Chordata; Mammalia; Rodentia; Muridae. The record is from RNAcentral.
UCAGACCUAGAGAGCUGCAGCCGUGGAGU